RNAcentral lists this ribosomal RNA (391 nucleotides) under uncultured bacterium. RNAcentral describes it as "partial 16S ribosomal RNA". It matches the Rfam family "Bacterial small subunit ribosomal RNA", at positions 523 to 917 of the family's 1533-position model. The record is from RNAcentral.
AUACGGAGGAUCCGAGCGUUAUCCGGAUUUAUUGGGUUUAAAGGGUGCGCAGGCGGCCGUUUAAGUCAGCGGUUAAAUCGUGGGGCUCAACCCCAUUCUGCCGUUGAUACUGGGUGGCUUGAUUGCGGUCGAGGUUGGCGGAAUUCGUUGUGUAGCGGUGAAAUGCAUAGAUAUGACGAAGAACACCGAUUGCGUAGGCAGCUGACCAGACCGCAAAUGACGCUCAUGCACGAAAGUGCGGGGAUCGAACAGGAUUAGAUACCCUGGUAGUCCGCACAGUAAACGAUGAAUACUUGUUUUCGGCGAUAUAAUGUCGGAGGCAAAGCGAAAGCGAUAAGUAUUCCACCUGGGGAGUACGCCGGCAACGGUGAAACUCAAAUGAAUUGACGGG